This 253-nucleotide ribosomal RNA is filed under the name uncultured bacterium. Its description in RNAcentral is "partial 16S ribosomal RNA". It matches the Rfam family "Bacterial small subunit ribosomal RNA", at positions 524 to 776 of the family's 1533-position model. The record is from RNAcentral.
UACGUAGGGGGCCAGCGUUGCUCGGAAUUACUGGGCGUAAAGGGUUCGUAGGUGGUGCGGCAAGUUGGGAGUGAAAUCUCUGGGCUUAACUCAGAGGCUGCUUUCAAAACUGCCGCGCUCGAGUGCGAGAGAGGUCAGUGGAAUUGCAGGUGUAGCGGUGAAAUGCGUAGAUAUCUGCAGGAACACCCGUGGCGAAGGCGGCUGACUGGAUCGCAACUGACACUGAGGAACGAAAGCCAGGGGAGCAAACGGG